Non-coding RNA from Picea glauca (white spruce), 46 nucleotides. Lineage: Eukaryota; Viridiplantae; Streptophyta; Pinopsida; Pinales; Pinaceae. The record is from Rfam.
ACAGUGGCUUUAGUCAAAGCCACCUUGAUAUAUUCAAAGGAAUUAU